ACACAUUAAGUUGAGAUUCAUAAAAUGGCUUAAGGAACUAAAGUUUAUAGCAUCUAAUAUUUUAGUUAUUCAAUUGAAGCAUUAUGUUGCAAAAGCAACCUCUAUUGUGUAGAUUGAUUAAUUUUAAAAUAUAAGAUGACUGUGAUUGUUAGUCUUCCAUGCGUUUAACAUCGGCCCAAAGGAAGGUGUUAUUUGGCAGGAAUUCGAA
RNAcentral lists this long non-coding RNA (208 nucleotides) under Nicotiana benthamiana. RNAcentral's name for it is "long non-coding RNA (NBEN_LNC012569)". Lineage: Eukaryota; Viridiplantae; Streptophyta; Magnoliopsida; Solanales; Solanaceae. The record is from RNAcentral.